GCCUCGAUAGCUCAGUCUGGCCAGAGCGAACGCCUCGUAAGCGUUAGGUCGUGGGUUCGGAUCCCACUCGAGGCU
Molecule: transfer RNA, 75 nt
Filed under: Nitrosopumilales archaeon
Lineage: Archaea; Thermoproteati; Nitrososphaerota; Nitrososphaeria; Nitrosopumilales
Also listed under: 1 other name
Description: tRNA-Thr
Rfam family: tRNA
About the family: Transfer RNA (tRNA) molecules are approximately 80 nucleotides in length.
Source: RNAcentral